CCCUUAGAUGUUCGGGGCUGCACAUGCGCUACACUGAAGGAAUCAACGUGUAUUUGCCCUUGCCCGAAAGGGUUGGGUAACCCGUUGAACCUCCUUCGUGCUAGGGAUUGGGGCUUGUAAUUAUUCCCCAUGAACGAGGAAUUCCCAGUAAGCGCGAGUCAUAAGCUCGCGUUGAUUACGUCCCUGCCCUUUGUACACACCGCCCGUCGCUACUACCGAUUGAAUGGUUUAGUGAGAUCCUCGGAUUGGUCCCGCCACGGGAGGAAACUUUCGAGGCGGAGUGCCGAGAAGACGAUCAAACUUGAUCAUUUAGAGGAAGUAAAAGUCGUAACA
This 333-nucleotide ribosomal RNA is filed under the name uncultured eukaryote. RNAcentral's name for it is "partial 18S ribosomal RNA". It matches the Rfam family "Eukaryotic small subunit ribosomal RNA", at positions 1470 to 1796 of the family's 1831-position model. The record is from RNAcentral.